Molecule: non-coding RNA, 776 nt
Filed under: Albulina orbitula
Lineage: Eukaryota; Metazoa; Arthropoda; Insecta; Lepidoptera; Lycaenidae
Source: RNAcentral
AAAAAAAUUUUUAUAGUUUUAAUAUUUUAUUUUAAAAAUGAUUUACAUACAAAUUUUAGUGUUAAAUUUUGUUUAUUUUAAUAAUAAAAAAAUAUUAUAAGGUAGUAAUUAACUUUAAAUUAUUUAAGAAAUUAAGAUUUAAUGAUUUAGAAAUAAAUAACUAAUUUUGUGCCAGCAGUUGCGGUUAUACAAAAAUUUAAUUAAAAUUUUUCAGUAUAUAUUAAAUAAAUUUAAAUUUAAAUUAAAAAUUAAAUUAUUAAGUGAAAUUUUAAUUUAAUAAAAAUUUAAAAAAUUAUAUGAAUUAAUAAAUUUAUAUAAAAACUAGGAUUAGAUACCCUAUUAUUAAAAUAAAUAAAAUUUAUACUAAAAUAGUAAAUAAUGAUUUAUUGAAACUUAAAUAAUUUGGCGGUAUUUUAGUUCAUUUAGAGGAAUCUGUCUAAUAAUUGAUAAUCCACGAUUAAAUUUACUUAAUUUAAAAUUUUAUAUAUCGUUGUUAAAAAAAUAUUUUAAAAUAAAAAUAAUAUUUAAAAAUUAUAAUUAAAAAUUAGUUCAGAUCAAGAUGUAGAUUAUAAUUAAGAAUAUGAUGGAUUACAAUAAAUUUAUUUAAAUGAAUUUUUUUUUAUUUUAAAAUAUAAAUGAAAUUGGAUUUAAAUGUAAUUUUAUUUAAUAUAAUAAAAUGAUUUUAAAUUGAAAUAUGUACAUAUUGCCCGUCGCUUUCAUUUUAAAAUUGAAAUAAGUCGUAACAAAGUAGAAGUACUGGAAAGUGUUUCUAGAAU